GAGCCGGUAAAACUCGUGCCAGCCACCGCGGUUAUACGAGAGGCCCAAGUUGACAGACUCCGGCGUAAAGAGUGGUUAGGGAAAUUUUUAAACUAAAGCCGAACGUCCUCAGAGCAGUUCAACGCUUCCGAGUUAAGAAGACCUAUUACGAAAGUAGCUUUACCAAACCUGACCCCACGAAAGCUGUGGCACAAACUGGGAUUAGAUACCCCACUAUGCUCAGCCCUAAAAUUUGAUAGACCAUCACACACCUAUCCGCCCGGGUACUACGAGCACUAGCUUAAAACCCAAAGGACUUGGCGGUGCUUCAUAUCCGUCUAGAGGAGCCUGUUCUAUAACCGAUACCCCCCGUUAAACCUCACCCUCUCUUGUUAAUACCGCCUAUAUACCGCCGUCGUCAGCCCACCCUGUGAAGGACUAGAAGUGCGCGAGAUUGGUAAAACCCAAAACGUCAGGUCGAGGUGUAGUGUAUGAGAGGGGAAGAAAUGGGCUACAUUUCCUAAAAUAGGAAAUACGAACAAUGGACUGAAAUAACCAUUAGAAGGUGGAUUUAGCAGUAAGCAGGAAAACAGAGAGUUCUGCUGAAAUUCACGGCACUAAAGCACGCACACACCGCCCGU
This 620-nucleotide ribosomal RNA is filed under the name Neopomacentrus sindensis (Arabian demoiselle). Its description in RNAcentral is "partial small subunit ribosomal RNA". It matches the Rfam family "Bacterial small subunit ribosomal RNA", at positions 488 to 1397 of the family's 1533-position model. The record is from RNAcentral. Lineage: Eukaryota; Metazoa; Chordata; Actinopteri; Pomacentridae.